CACUUUCUUCCGUUAACGUUGUCACCACCCACCACUCUCUCGCCGCACACACCACACCGGGAUAGUUUUUAUCCGUUGCGGAAAGCUAUUUUUUCCGGUUUUUAUUUAUUUAGCGGCGAAGAAGAAGGAGGCCAUUAGGAGAGGGGAAGGAAGGAAGGAGGGAGGGAGGAGGCAGAGGAGGAGGCGCGGUAGGCAGGUUAGGCGGGUUUUAAUGGGGAGGUUAGCGGGGCGUUUACGAGGCGCUAGCGGGCGCGCAACGGGUUAGGCGGCGCGGUAAUCGCGGGUGGUAAAAACAACAACCCCCUCCCAACUAACCAACUAACUAAAGCUUUCCUCCAUCGAAAAACGAAGAACAUCCCAUUAAUCCCUAUCGCCAUCCUCCUCCGCCUCCUCCGGUACCACCUGCUCAUGGUGGUGGCCUACCCGCGGCGCCGCCGGCUGAAGGCCGCGCUGGACCUCCUGGAGCAGACGCUGGUGGAGCCGCCGACGAUGAGCGGCGGCGGGAGGAGCAGGAGCAGCGAGACGAGGCGCCGCCCGCCGCCGCCGCCCCCUCCGCGGCUCCCGCCGCCUCCGCAGCCGCCCCGGCCGCUCCUCCUCCGGCUCAGCAGCGCCGCCGCCGCCGCGCUCAGCGCCGACGAGUCGGCGACCCAGCGCGCCGUCCGCCUCCUCCACGAGAGGAGGUACCUCGCGCUCCACCUCGCCGCCUUGGCGCUCAGCCUCGAGGAGCGCGAGUGGGCCGAGGUGGGCCAGAGGUGGGAGCUGGGGAGGCGCAAGGAGGAGAGGAGCGGGGGCGGCGGCGCGGGAGUCCGCGGGAGCGGGCGGCGCGGGAGGAGGGACGAGGUCUACACCGCCCUCGAGCUCGUGGCGGCGCGGCUGCGGCCGGUCGGGAAGCUGGCGCUCGGCAGGGGCCUGUGCGGGCUGGCGGUGGCGCUCGCGCACGCGGUCUAGCGGGCGGCGGAGUGGUGGAGGUGCCUGUCGGGGUGCCGGCGCCGGCGGUGCCGGUGCCCCCUCACCGAGCCGCUCUGCCUCUCCGUCUCCCAGUCCGAGCAGUCCCUCACCCACGUCUACCGGUCGGUCGGCGCGCUGCGGGCGCGCCGGAGGGCGUCCCUCCUCGGCUGGCGGCGCCUCUCCCUCUCCGCUCCCCUCGGAGGGGCCGAGGCACCGGCCGUCCGCGCGUGGCUACAGUAGUGAGCCUACAGGGCCCUCGCAGUCGCGCUCGACGUCCCCGAUAGCCCCAUGGUGUAACACAGCGUCAAGGGGGUCGCGUCGGCGUCGGCGUAAGUCCCUAACGAAUCCCAUUCCAAGAACUCCUUGCGCCACCGAGGUCGUCUUCUCCUCGCUGUCGGUAGACACCGCCGCUCCCUCGAGCCCGUCAACUCCGUCUCGGUAGCACACAGGUGGAAUUCUAGUCUCUCACGACAUUCAUCAGUUCUACAAUCGGACAGACUACGAGGACAGCGGCUUUUACAAGGUAAUGAACCAUUACUACUUUGACUUGUCCCCCGACUUCAACCCGUGGAAUGACAAUCACUCCUACACCGGGUUUGAUGCGGGCUCUUACACCCAAAUGUCCUCCUAUUGCAUCUACAACGACUCCGCCUCAGUGGCCGAUGUUGUAGCCCACUGUAUCAACUAUACGUUCACAGAGUUCAACUAUUACCCGACGUUCAACUCCGUCUUGCACUCUGUUAUAAAACCGUCGGUAGAAACCUACAGUCCGAACUAUCCACCGGGUUACUUUGACGUCUCUUAAGACUGUCUUUAACCCUUCUAUUACGUCUCCUCAAUGUGUCGCUUUAGCGCCUCCUACUACUGUCCCUCUUACUUUUAGAGGUUCUACUCGUACUACGCACCGUGCUACUGCUUAGAGUACCGUGGCUCCUCUUGACCGUUCUACUACUGAAGGUACUACGACGUGAACUGUGUCCCGGGUAAGGAUCUUAACUUUUGUCGAAGUUGGAUGCACUACUUCGGUUAAACGUGUUGUACCUUGACUCCCUUAAUGAAUCGUCCGCUUCACAUAGGUUAGAAGAAUCAUUACCAAAACCACUGUCAAACCUCGUUAAUUAUUCCAGUAUACAAGUUGCUGCACCGGUACGGGGUGAGUUGACCUUAGAGCUAUGUCGGUACGGGUGACGCUUACGUGGUUUACCUUUGGUCCUUGAUCAUUCUUUACGACUUUUAGCCGUUAAGGUUCCAGGACGGUUGUCUGGACGGGAACAAUAGGGAGGUGGUGGAAACGGUGGCGCCGUCGGUGACACCGUGUCUCUAAACGCGGUAUUGUGGACCUCGUCAUCUGUGUCCCAUGUAGUCCUUAACCUGCGGUAAUUACUAAACUUUCGACUGUACUUAUUUGAGGUUGUUCCCUACUCGUCGUACGUUUCCUACAACCUCCGCACGUACCUGUACGUUGACCUCAACGUUGCAAGUCACUCUGUUCUUCACAGACGUCGGAACUCAUCUAAGGGCCCUGGACUUCCAACGUACAAAGACCUAGAUGUGCUACUGCCUUGCUCUACCCUGGUCCACUCCUUUCCUUGGACGACGCAUACGACGCUGUGUGUUUAGCUAAGAGAUGAGAUGUCUACGCCCGUGUACACGUGCACGAGCUUUACGCGCUUGCUCGACCACGCGUCGCCGCCGUUCACGGGCGACACGGCCCGCGGCUAGCACCUCCACCAGGCCCGUAUGCGCCACGACAUUUAAUAUGUUGUUGUCAGCAGCCUUCAAAACCGCGCCCUCCGAGCCAGCGCUUUGACCCCUCCUUUUCUCUCUUCGUUCUGGGGACGAAGAAAAAGUAGAAUGACAAACAAAAGGAAUCGAAAAGACCCAGACAGAGGGGUACAUCGGAAGGACACAUGGUAGAAUGUCCUAAGUGUAAUGUAUGUAUAUAUAGUCGGCGGUGGCGGCGGAACGGCGGGCGUGGACCGCCGCGUCCGCCGCUUCCCGCCGUCGCACGCGCACGCAACGCAGCACAAUAACUAACCACUUUCUCAAAUGGUACCCAAUCAUUAUCAACAAUCAUCAUCGUCGUCGUCGUCCCUUUCCCUGGGUUGGGUCACAUUUUCAAGAAAGCGACAUAAAUACGGGGGGAGAGUGGUGUCGUGUUCUACUCAACUCUACUCUACUCUACUCUAUGAGGGUUGGGUUUACUAUAUUAUCUAAGAACAAUUGAAGUAGGUGUAGGAACACAACACAACACAACAUACUGGUCAGGAGAAGGAACGAUUACAAACAACAUUUAUAA
RNAcentral lists this ribosomal RNA (3247 nucleotides) under Triticum aestivum (bread wheat). RNAcentral describes it as "partial small subunit ribosomal RNA". Lineage: Eukaryota; Viridiplantae; Streptophyta; Magnoliopsida; Poales; Poaceae. The record is from RNAcentral.